GGCACCCUAGUCCCAAGUGAAAAUCCACCUGCCCAAAGUUUCCAAAAGUCUUUAAUUUCCAUUGAGUAAUACUUGCAGUGUUAGAGCAAUUGCUUCCACCCUGGACUACAGUAGUGGAAUAUGUAGACUACGAUAAACUGCUGAGGAAAAAAUUGAGGUGGAACUCAAGACUCCCAGAGAAUUUUCAAAAGACGUUAAGUGACAAGAGAUGAAAUCCAGAGUUGAUAAACAUAUAAACAAAAUUCUCUAAUUUAGCCACUUCUCACAUGACUUUUACCACCCAAAUUUAGGAGCCUCUAUUUUUGUAAAUAAAAUUUUACUGGGACACACAACAAAACUCAAACCAUUCUCAACCUCAUUAGUAAUCAGACACAUGUAACUUUAAAUUACAAUGAGCUACCCUAACACAUGUAUUAGAUUGACCAAAAUUAAAUAAUCAGAAAUACCAAGUGCUGGUACAAAUAUAAGGCAAU
Molecule: long non-coding RNA, 473 nt
Filed under: Macaca fascicularis (crab-eating macaque)
Lineage: Eukaryota; Metazoa; Chordata; Mammalia; Primates; Cercopithecidae
Description: lncRNA (ENSMFAG00000051386.1)
Source: RNAcentral